This 834-nucleotide ribosomal RNA is filed under the name Staphylococcus kloosii. RNAcentral's name for it is "bacterial SSU rRNA". It matches the Rfam family "Bacterial small subunit ribosomal RNA", at positions 57 to 873 of the family's 1533-position model. Lineage: Bacteria; Bacillati; Bacillota; Bacilli; Caryophanales; Staphylococcaceae. The record is from RNAcentral.
GCAGUCGAGCGAACAGAUAAGGAGCUUGCUCCUUUGACGUUAGCGGCGGACGGGUGAGUAACACGUGGGUAACCUACCUAUAAGACUGGAAUAACUUCGGGAAACCGAAGCUAAUGCCGGAUAACAUGUAGAACCGCAUGGUUCUACAGUGAAAGAUGGCUUUGCUAUCACUUAUAGAUGGACCCGCGCCGUAUUAGCUAGUUGGUAAGGUAACGGCUUACCAAGGCAACGAUACGUAGCCGACCUGAGAGGGUGAUCGGCCACACUGGAACUGAGACACGGUCCAGACUCCUACGGGAGGCAGCAGUAGGGAAUCUUCCGCAAUGGGCGAAAGCCUGACGGAGCAACGCCGCGUGAGUGAUGAAGGUCUUCGGAUCGUAAAGCUCUGUUAUUAGGGAAGAACAAAUGCGUAAGUAACUGUGCGCACCUUGACGGUACCUAAUCAGAAAGCCACGGCUAACUACGUGCCAGCAGCCGCGGUAAUACGUAGGUGGCAAGCGUUAUCCGGAAUUAUUGGGCGUAAAGCGCGCGUAGGCGGUUUCUUAAGUCUGAUGUGAAAGCCCACGGCUCAACCGUGGAGGGUCAUUGGAAACUGGGAAACUUGAGUGCAGAAGAGGAAAGUGGAAUUCCAUGUGUAGCGGUGAAAUGCGCAGAGAUAUGGAGGAACACCAGUGGCGAAGGCGACUUUCUGGUCUGUAACUGACGCUGAUGUGCGAAAGCGUGGGGAUCAAACAGGAUUAGAUACCCUGGUAGUCCACGCCGUAAACGAUGAGUGCUAAGUGUUAGGGGGUUUCCGCCCCUUAGUGCUGCAGCUAACGCAUUAAGCACUCCGCC